UCCUACGGGAGGCAGCAGUGAGGAAUAUUGGUCAAUGGGCGAGAGCCUGAACCAGCCAAGUCGCGUGAGGGAGUACUGCCCUAUGGGUUGUAAACCUCUUUUGUCGGGGAGCAAAAGCCGGACGUGUCCGGCUGUGAGAGUACCCGAAGAAAAAGCAUCGGCUAACUCCGUGCCAGCAGCCGCGGUAAUACGGAGGAUGCGAGCGUUAUCCGGAUUUAUUGGGUUUAAAGGGUGCGUAGGCGGGAUGCCAAGUCAGCGGUAAAAAUGCGGUGCUCAACGCCGUCGAGCCGUUGAAACUGGCGUUU
This 305-nucleotide ribosomal RNA is filed under the name uncultured bacterium. RNAcentral describes it as "bacterial SSU rRNA". It matches the Rfam family "Bacterial small subunit ribosomal RNA", at positions 337 to 641 of the family's 1533-position model. The record is from RNAcentral.